UACGGAGGGAGCUAGCGUUGUUCGGAAUUACUGGGCGUAAAGCGCGCGUAGGCGGCUUUGUAAGUUAGAGGUGAAAGCCCGGGGCUCAACCCCGGAACUGCCUUUAAGACUGCAUCGCUUGAAUCCAGGAGAGGUGAGUGGAAUUCCGAGUGUAGAGGUGAAAUUCGUAGAUAUUCGGAAGAACACCAGUGGCGAAGGCGGCUACCUGGACCGGUUCUGACACUGAGGAGCGAAAGCGUGGGGAGCGAUCCGG
This 253-nucleotide ribosomal RNA is filed under the name uncultured bacterium. RNAcentral's name for it is "partial 16S ribosomal RNA". It matches the Rfam family "Bacterial small subunit ribosomal RNA", at positions 524 to 776 of the family's 1533-position model. The record is from RNAcentral.